This 1241-nucleotide ribosomal RNA is filed under the name metagenome. Its description in RNAcentral is "bacterial LSU rRNA". It matches the Rfam family "Bacterial large subunit ribosomal RNA", at positions 1564 to 2815 of the family's 2925-position model. The record is from RNAcentral.
UGAAUACGAGACGCUAAGGCGUCGAAGUAGUGUAUGUCAUACUUCCAAGAAAAGCUUGCACUGUCAUAGAUAAAAAACGCCUGUACCAUAACCGACACAGGUGGGUAGGUAGAGUAUACUAAGGAGCGCGAGAUAACUCUCUCUAAGGAACUCGGCAAAAUAACUCCGUAACUUCGGGAGAAGGAGUGCCUUAUUCGUAAGGUUGCAAUAACAAGAUCCAAGCAACUGUUUAUCAAAAACACAGGUCUCCGCUAAGUCGUAAGACGAUGUAUGGGGGCUGACGCCUGCCCAGUGCCAGAAGGUUAAAGAAGUUGGUUAGCAAUUGCGAAGCUGAUAACUGAAGCCCUGGUGAACGGCGGCCGUAACUAUAACGGUCCUAAGGUAGCGAAAUUCCUUGUCGGGUAAGUUCCGACCCGCACGAAAGGCGUAAUGAUUUGGAUACUGUCUCGGAGAGGGGCUCGGUGAAAUAGACUUGUCUGUGAAGAUGCGGACUACCUGCACCAGGACAGAAAGACCCUAUGAAGCUUUACUGUAACUUGAAAUUGAAAUUGGACUUUAUUCGCGCAGUAUAGGUGGGAGGCGUUGAUUAUAAUCUUGUGGGAUUAUUGGAGCCAUCAGUGAGAUACCACUCUUGUAAUGUUAGAUUUCUAACUUUGAAUCAUUAUCUGGUCAAAGAACAGUUUCAGGCGGGCAGUUUGACUGGGGCGGUCGCCUCCUAAACGGUAACGGAGGCGUACAAAGGUUUCCUCUGAACGGUUAGAAAUCGUAUCUAGAGUGUAAAGGCAUAAGGAAGCUUGACUGUGAGACCUACAAGUCGAGCAGGGACGAAAGUCGGUCUUAGUGAUCUGACGGUACUGAGUGGAAAGGCCGUCACUCAACGGAUAAAAGUUACUCUAGGAUAACAGGCUGAUCUCCCCCAAGAGUUCACAUCGACGGGGAGGUUUGGCACCUCGAUGUCGGCUCAUCGCAUCCUGGGGCGGUAGUACGUCCCAAGGGUUGGGCUGUUCGCCCAUGAAAGCGGAACGCGAGCUGGGUUCAGAACGUCGUGAGACAGUUCGGUCCAUAUCCGGUGUAGGCGUUAGAAUAUUGAGAGGAGCCUUCUUUAGUACGAGAGGACCGAGAAGGACAUACCUCUGGUGUACCAGUUAUCGUGCCAACGGUAAACGCUGGGUAGCUAUGUAUGGAGUGGAUAACCGCUGAAAGCAUCUAAGUGGGAAGCCCACCUCAAGAUAAGUAUUCUG